UACGGUGGGAGCAAGCGUUGUUCGGAUUUACUGGGCGUAAAGGGCGCGUAGGCGGUCAGCACAAGUCAGUUGUGAAAUCUCCGGGCUUAACUCGGAAAGGUCAACUGAUACUGUGCGACUAGAGUGCAGAAGGGGCAACUGGAAUUCUCGGUGUAGCGGUGAAAUGCGUAGAUAUCGAGAGGAACACCUGCGGCGAAGGCGGGUUGCUGGGCUGACACUGACGCUGAUGCGCGAAAGCCAGGGGAGCGAACGGG
Molecule: ribosomal RNA, 254 nt
Filed under: uncultured bacterium
Lineage: Bacteria
Description: partial 16S ribosomal RNA
Rfam family: Bacterial small subunit ribosomal RNA
Source: RNAcentral